GCUUUUUUUCAUUUAUUUUUCCUGUUUUUUGGUUACUUUUAUCCUUUUUUGUUUUGUUUUUCAUUUUCAUGUUUUAACUUUUGUUUUUGAUCUUUACUGUUGUUGUUUUUUGUCUUGUUUUAUUUAUUUUUUAUCUGAUUACUCUCAUAUAAACUGAGUUUAACUGGCCAACACUGACCCAAAUCUCCCCUUCAACCUUUACCACUUCUCUCUCUCCCUCUUUUCCCCUCUACUUUUUCUCUCUGCUCUUGGACGACGUACAAAGUAGAGUGCAAUCCUACCCUAUCCCUCUGUACUUUUUGUUGCAGGAUUCAGUUUCACAUUGGUAUAUUUUUUUAAGAGUAGGCUCAGAGGUCUAAUUGUGACUGGUUAGAGUAAGGACUGGAUUUCUCUCUGGGGUUUGUAUGUGGCGGUGUCUCAUUCCAGUGUCAGAUUUAAACACACACACACAUUCCUGUGUCAGAUUUAUUUUGUCAGUGCUGCAACGGCUGGCUGACCCUCCGUCUGGAUGGAGGUGUUACAGAGAGCAGAUUGAUAAAAAGGGCAAAAUGUCAGAGAAGCAUAAACACACACACACCCAGUAUACACGCUCAGUCCAUGUGUUUGGUGUGUGUAUGUGCAUUUAUAGGAGAAACAGUGAAUCUCAGUGUUGAUCUGAGAAUCUUGAUCCUGUGUGUGUGGCGCAACCAAACGUACAUUACAUGUCUGGAUUGGUCGCAAGGAGCCAGCAACAGCAUCAUAUGUCGCUCUCAUUAUUGACUCAAAUUUCCUAGCUUUUUUCCUCUCUCUCCUCCUCCUCCUCUUUUAUUCUCAGACCUUUUACUUCUACCCUCUUAUUUAUUUUCACUUAAAGUAAUUAUUUACUAUUUUUAAAUAAGAACAUAAGUCACACCGUGAGAAAUAAAGUCACAAUUAUAGGAAAUAUAGUUGCAAUUAUAAGAAAUAUUCGGAACUGCAAGAAAUAUUCACACACUGUGAGAUACGAAGUCUCAACGCAAGACAAAGUUGCAAUUAUGAAAUAAAAUGUUUCAAUUGCAAGAAAAAAGUCUGCUUUGUAAGAUAUACAGUAGCAAUUUGGCAAAAUCAAAGCAGAAAUAGUGAAAUAUAGUCAGUAAAAAAAUUAAAUCUACAACUAGUAAACACAUUUUUUUUACUCUGAUAUCCAGAUGUUCUGUUAAAUUUGUCACUCUGACCUAUACAAUUUUAUUCCCAUUUUCAAACUUACUUCCCCUAUAACAGUGUACUCUUAAAAGAAGCAGUUACAGCUUGUUUAUGUUGAUUAAAUAGGGUGUUUGAAGGACAAUUUAAGGUCAUGUCAUACUGAAAUCACUUCCUAUAGCUGCACACACCACCCAAACACCCAUUACUGCUUGUCUAACAGACAUGAAAUAUGAUUUUUUUCACUUCCCUGUGUAUGUAUGUGUGUGUUUGCUUGUGUGACCUUGCUGUUGUAACCGGAGCAGCACAGACUGGGCUGAGACAGAUAUAGCCCUGAAACACAACACUGUUGUAGUGUCUGCGGUCCCACGCAGACAAGACAAUGACACCAGCAAAAACGUACGUGUGUGUGUGUGUGUGGGACAUAGCAGAUGAAGCUGUCCUUGACAACAACAGAGAGACACUGUGUAUGUAUGUGUACAUUGUAUGGGAGAGAUAGUCAUGCACUUAUGGUAAACACUGUAAAGCUGUGUGUCAACUAUUAUAAAUGGCCACAAAACAAUAUAAUUUCUCUCAUAAAGUUACAGUAAUAUUUUCAAAAUUGUUAUAACUCCUAUUUGAUUUGCUGUCCAGUGCUUUCUAAAUGACAUGAUGGUGAUCCAGAGUUUCCAGAGUGCAAAAUAUCCAGUGUCUAUUAUGGGGUUGCCAGAUCUUCCUAAAAAAGAAAACAAUUUGCCCAAAAACAAGGCUGAAAUAAGUGAUUUCUCUCACCAAAAUACACCACCGUUCAAAAGUCUGGGGUCAGCAAGACACAGCAAGAAAAUCAUAUAUUUUAUAUUAUAUAUUUUAUUCCUGUGAAAAUACCAUGAAUUGGCAAAGCUGAAUUUUCAGCAACUAUUACUCCAGUCUUCAGGUGUCACACGAUCCUUCAGAAAUCAUUCUAAUAUUUUUAUUUGGUGCUCAAGAGUGAUUUCUUAUUGUAAGUGUUGGAAACAGUUGUGCUGCUAAUAUUUUUGUGGAUUCUUUGAUAAAUGGAAAGUCAAAAGAAAAGAAUUAGUACUGUUACAUGAUCAAUUUAAUGCAUCCUUGUUGAGUAGAAUUUAAUUAAAAAAAAAAAAUCUUACUGGCCUUAAACUUUUGAAAGGUAGUAUAAGUCUAAAAAUAAGCAAUUUUUAUAUGAAAAACAAGAACAUGAGAGUUAAAUGUGGAGUCAUGUGCUAACAAUUGGGGAUAUUUAACAUCUGCUAGUGGUCGGGUCACACGUUCAUGCCAUUGGGGGAAAAUAAAUACAAUACUUAAUUUUGGAAAUAAUCCCAAAACAAUGCGACCCUUACAAGCAACUUCAUAAAAAAGGAACAAAGUUGCUUACAAUAAAAGGACAUGGCAACAUUAGUCCAUUAGAGGGAAGUGAAGUGUGUUCUGUCAACAGGCUCAGAGAAGCACAGAUGAGAGAUGCAAGGAGUUAAAAUGAAUUGAAAUAACAAACCCUAGAACUUGUGUGCAAUACUGUAAUCCAAGAGCGUUUCAAAGGAUCUACUAGAGAGGCGCCUGUUUUAGUAGCCAAACUGUCUUUCAGCCCCGAGGCUGGGUACAGAGAGAGCGCUUGGCUUUUUCAUUCACCAAAAUUAGUCAUUCUGAAUGUUUGGAGGGCUUCUGUUUAAUCAGACAGGGGGAACAUGAGCACUGCUGUGGCCAAAGUUCAGCCACACGCACAGAAACAAGAUGGAGAUGCAGAAACCCGUACAGCCCAACUCAAAUACCAGCAAAACCAAUCAAUCAGUGCAUCCCUCAUCGAGCAGUGUUAUACAACUCAAACUAAACAACAAUCACAGAAACUUCAGCUCUACUGUAAUGAUGUAAAAUCAAGAGAACUGGAAAAGCGAGAGGCAGCUUAGAUGUGAGUUUUCAACAUCUAGAGUAUGUGACAAAGGGGUCAGUAAUAUCACGACACUCCUGUAGCCAUGUAAGAAAUGUUGUUUUUUUUUCUCCCAUCAUUCCUGUGGGCGGAAUUAAGAGGAUGGCUUUGUCAACAGCUGGAAUUAUGCAACAACAAAUUCUUAUUUCUGCACUCUGUGUGAGAGACACUACGUCUGUGUAAAAUAACAAGAGCAAACUGCAGUUUUUAAGGAUCUAAUGUUAAAAGUUUUUUGAGGCGAACAUUUGAGCUGCCUUAAUUCUUUGUGCUCUGUAAUUAACAAUGCCUGCUUGUUUUAAAAAAAGCAAAACCCACUUUGUAAAACACACACACACACAAAUAAUAAAAUCAACUUUGUUAUCUGGCUAGUAUGGAUGUAUAGAUGCUUUGUCUGUCCUGUAUGAAUCCGAGAUUUUGCUAAAUUUGCCCACCCUCACCUGUCCCACCCCUUUCACCCGAAACCUUGUACAUUUACCCUUGUUGUUGUUUAUCAAUCUUUUUUGUGUACUUGCAGAACAUUUUAUAGUAUUAUUUAUUACUGGCAAGCCUUUGCAUUAAUAAAGAGCAAGAGAGAUGGUUCUUUGAACAGGGUAGCAAGAGGCAGCAAAGCUGCUCAAUGAAAAGUAUGGCCAUUUUUUUCUUUUCUUUUUUUUCUAAAUUAAAGAAGGAAACGGCAAGAGUAAAAAAAAAAAAAGAUAAACUUGUCUUUUGAUUAUGAAGUUGUUAUAAAACUUGUUGCUUUAAAAUGUAUCAUUUUUGUGUUGUAACAGUAUUUGUUUAACCCAGUGAAUUGCUUAUUAAAAACAAAUAAAUAGAGGC
Molecule: long non-coding RNA, 3892 nt
Organism: Cyprinus carpio carpio
Lineage: Eukaryota; Metazoa; Chordata; Actinopteri; Cypriniformes; Cyprinidae
Source: Ensembl